RNAcentral lists this long non-coding RNA (227 nucleotides) under Trifolium pratense (red clover). Its description in RNAcentral is "long non-coding RNA (TPRA_LNC014287)". The record is from RNAcentral. Lineage: Eukaryota; Viridiplantae; Streptophyta; Magnoliopsida; Fabales; Fabaceae.
AAGAGGAAUGUUGCAGUGAAGACUGAAGAAGUAGAAGAUGGAUUCUAGAGAUGGUGAUGAAGGCACGGUGAUGAUAUACAAUUAGAUCUUGUGUGGAUAAUUUUAAAUGUUCUCUUUUUAAUUUUAGUAGAUCUUGGCCAUUGAUUAUAUCUGAUGGUUGAAAAUGAUUUUUCAUUGGUCCCUCACCUGUGGGAGAUAUGAUUCACUAUCCCACACUAGAAUCCGCC